Molecule: ribosomal RNA, 467 nt
Filed under: uncultured bacterium
Lineage: Bacteria
Description: partial 16S ribosomal RNA
Rfam family: Bacterial small subunit ribosomal RNA
Source: RNAcentral
GACGAACGCUGGCGGCGUGCUUAACACAUGCAAGUCGAACGGAAAGGCUCCAGCUUGCUGGAGUACUCGAGUGGCGAACGGGUGAGUAACACGUGGGUAAUCUGCCCUGCACUCUGGGAUAAGCCUGGGAAACUGGGUCUAAUACUGGAUAUGACCUUUCUCCUUAUGGUGUUUGGUGGAAAGUUUUUCGGUGUAGGAUGGGCCCGCGGCCUAUCAGCUUGUUGGUGGGGUGAUGGCCUACCAAGGCGACGACGGGUAGCCGGCCUGAGAGGGUGAUCGGCCACAUUGGGACUGAGAUACGGCCCAGACUCCUACGGGAGGCAGCAGUGGGGAAUAUUGCACAAUGGGCGGAAGCCUGAUGCAGCGACGCCGCGUGAGGGAUGACGGCCUUCGGGUUGUAAACCGCUUUCAGCAGGGACGAAGCGUAAGUGACGGUAACUGCAGAAGAAGCACCGGCUAACUAUGUG